GCAUUUCCUUAACGAGCCACUUGAUGGCUGCGGCGGCGCGGCCGCGGCGGGCAGGACCGGCGGGGGGCGGCUGGCUGCCGUGGCGACAGAGACCCGAGCCCAGGCAGCCAGGCCUUGCCUCCAGCUCAGCGUGGAGAGCACCUUCCGGCUACCGGGCGCUGGACAGCGCCUGGCCAGGAAGCUUUUAACAAGAUGCAGCUGAGCGUGUCGAUAUCUUACAUCUUUUUACUGCUGUUUGGGUUGCUCAGCUACUUGAAGCUGCUCACUGCCUCAGACAAACACUGGCACCUUCCAGAGACAAUGUUCCCUGGCUUGAUUUACGCUCAUUGUUACAACUAUCCUUUGGUGCCCUCUGGAAGUACACAGGACAUUGCAAGUAAAGGAAGAGAGUGGGUGUUGAAGUGAAGCACUGUUCUGCCUCUUUCCACUGAAAGCACCAUAUAUAUAUUCACUGUGAAUAGCUCUAUGUAAUGAUUUUGUUAAUGAUUAUUGUUGUGAACAUGGGACUGAAAAUGGAUUAUGGUUCUUAAGUUGACUGUACCAAGUCUUGGGAGUUAAAUGUGUUCAUCUACCUAUCUGUUAAAUCUGGAAUAUUUACUAGGAUUUAUAAUUUCAUUGAAAAAGCAGAUUUAUAUGUCUUUAUUAAGCAAUUGGUGGAUAUUUUCUUUAAAAAUGUUUAAAUUGACUGUCAAUUAACCAUGUGUUUAAAAAAAAAACAAAAAACAAAAACAAAAAACAUGAGGUGAAAUUGAAAUCAACAAAACAGACAAUGAGAAGAGGAGAAAGAGCAGGGCCUGGAAUGUAAGCCCAUACAAAGAUUAUCUUUAUCUGACAAUGUUUCUUCAUUUACUAAAUAUUAAUUUCACUUUGUUGUAUUUAAGCUUAUAAUUGGUUUGACUAGUCUGCUUUAAGAGGAAGAAAUCUCUAAAUUUACAUUUGGAUUUUAGAUUUUGGAGUAAAUACCACGUUCCAGCUUCAGUUUUUAAAUUAGGCUUAGCAAGGCUUCAGUAGCAAAUCUACAGCAAUGAUUUCCUGUUUUAAUAUGUUCUUUAAAUAUUUUAAUAGCAUCAUGAGGAAACUUCUUAAUUAUACAGCACUUCGUAUUGUAGAAUUUAGUAGACUGGGGAAGAAAGCAAAUAGCAGGGUAGUUAUAAAGCUAGGAAGAGCAGAAAGCCUGUUGAGAGGAAGUGUGUGUUUGCAGAGGAGACCUGAUGCCUCUCCAGCUCACCCACUACAGUCAUCCACUGACUUCUUCUGUGGUUUAUUUACCCGAAGGUAGCCACAGUCUAAAAAUGUCUGUAUUUGUCAGGACCAUUUCAAGAGAGGAACCAUGUUGAAAUAACUUUUCUAAAAGUAUAUUUUAUAAUUGUUUGAUUAUUGAUUAUUGUUUCUAAUUGCCUACUGCUCCUAAUUUCUAAGCUACAAGUUAAACUUAUAUGUAUGUAUGGGUAAAGAUUCAGGUAUAUAAGGCUUGGUAGACUCUUUGGUUUCAGCAUCCUCAGGUCUAUGGGAACCAUUAGUAUUUACUUACAGAGUGACCUCUGUGUUAUUGCUUCAACCUAAGAAAAAGUAUACUCAAUAUUUCGUCAACUAUGGCUCUCCUUCUAAUGCUAUGUUAAUUGAACUAGAUUGCAAAUAUAAACAAUAUGUUAAGAAUAGAUCAGGAAAUGAGUCUUCUUUCUUAUUAUAUAUGGGACAAAGAAAACUGUCCAAUUCUCCAGACUUUAUUUUGUCAUUGAAAUAAAAAUUCUGAUUUACCAAA
Molecule: long non-coding RNA, 1762 nt
Organism: Mus musculus (house mouse)
Lineage: Eukaryota; Metazoa; Chordata; Mammalia; Rodentia; Muridae
Product: RIKEN cDNA B230208B08 gene
Exons: 2
Source: RefSeq, marked validated